RNAcentral lists this ribosomal RNA (499 nucleotides) under uncultured bacterium. RNAcentral describes it as "bacterial SSU rRNA". It matches the Rfam family "Bacterial small subunit ribosomal RNA", at positions 30 to 524 of the family's 1533-position model. The record is from RNAcentral.
AUUGAACGCUGGCGGAAUGCUUUACACAUGCAAGUCGAACGGCAGCACGGGGCAACCUGGUGGCGAGUGGCGAACGGGUGAGUAAUACAUCGGAACGUGCCCAAUCGUGGGGGAUAACGUAGCGAAAGUUACGCUAAUACCGCAUACGAUCUACGGAUGAAAGCGGGGGAUCGCAAGACCUCGCGCGAGUGGAGCGGCCGAUGUCAGAUUAGGUAGUUGGUGGGGUAAAGGCUCACCAAGCCAACGAUCUGUAGCUGGUCUGAGAGGACGACCAGCCACACUGGAACUGAGACACGGUCCAGACUCCUACGGGAGGCAGCAGUGGGGAAUUUUGGACAAUGGGCGCAAGCCUGAUCCAGCCAUUCCGCGUGCAGGAUGAAGGCCUUCGGGUUGUAAACUGCUUUUGUACGGAACGAAACGGCGAGCUCUAAUACAGUUUGCUAAUGACGGUACCGUAAGAAUAAGCACCGGCUAACUACGUGCCAGCAGCCGCGGUAAA